This 200-nucleotide unclassified non-coding RNA is filed under the name uncultured Tricholoma. RNAcentral describes it as "sequence contains ITS2". The record is from RNAcentral. Lineage: Eukaryota; Fungi; Basidiomycota; Agaricomycetes; Agaricales; Tricholomataceae.
AAUUCUCAACCUUUUCAGCAUUUAUGUUGAUCAGGCUUGGAUGUGGGAGUUUGCGGGCUUCUCAGAAGUCGGCUCUCCUUAAAUACAUUAGCGGGACCUUUGUUGCCCAGCUUUAGUGUGAUAAUUAUCUACGCUAUCGUUGAGAGCGGCUUUUAAUGGGGUACAGCUUCUAAUGGUCUCAUUUGAGACAACUUCUGACA